RNAcentral lists this ribosomal RNA (468 nucleotides) under uncultured bacterium. Its description in RNAcentral is "partial 16S ribosomal RNA". It matches the Rfam family "Bacterial small subunit ribosomal RNA", at positions 28 to 507 of the family's 1533-position model. The record is from RNAcentral.
GACGAACGCUGGCGGCGUGCUUAACACAUGCAAGUCGAACGGAAAGGCCCUGCUUUUGUGGGGUGCUCGAGUGGCGAACGGGUGAGUAACACGUGAGUAACCUGCCCUUGACUUUGGGAUAACUUCAGGAAACUGGGGCUAAUACCGGAUAGGAGCUCCUGCUGCAUGGUGGGGGUUGGAAAGUUUCGGCGGUUGGGGAUGGACUCGCGGCUUAUCAGCUUGUUGGUGGGGUAGUGGCUUACCAAGGGUUUGACGGGUAGCCGGCCUGAGAGGGUGACCGGCCACAUUGGGACUGAGAUACGGACCAGACUCCUACGGGAGGCAGCAGUGGGGAAUAUUGCACAAUGGGAGGAAGCCUGAUGCAGCAACGCCGCGUGCGGGAUGACGGCCUUCGGGUUGUAAACCGCUUUCGCCUGUGACGAAGCGUGAGUGACGGUAAUGGGUAAAGAAGCACCGGCUAACUACGUG